RNAcentral lists this ribosomal RNA (335 nucleotides) under uncultured bacterium. RNAcentral's name for it is "bacterial SSU rRNA". It matches the Rfam family "Bacterial small subunit ribosomal RNA", at positions 8 to 334 of the family's 1533-position model. The record is from RNAcentral.
AGGGUUUGAUUAUGGCUCAGGAUGAACGCUAGCUACAGGCUUAACACAUGCAAGUCGAGGGGCAGCGGGAUUGAAGCUUGCUUCAAUUGCCGGCGACCGGCGCACGGGUGAGUAACGCGUAUCCAACCUUCCGCUUACUCGGGGAUAGCCUUUCGAAAGAAAGAUUAAUACCCGAUGGUAUCUUAAGCACGCAUGAGAUUAAGAUUAAAGAUUUAUCGGUAAGCGAUGGGGAUGCGUUCCAUUAGGCAGUUGGCGGGGUAACGGCCCACCAAACCUACGAUGGAUAGGGGUUCUGAGAGGAAGGUCCCCCACAUUGGAACUGAGACACGGUCCAA